This 66-nucleotide transfer RNA is filed under the name Apanteles gelechiidivoris. RNAcentral's name for it is "tRNA-Ile". Lineage: Eukaryota; Metazoa; Arthropoda; Insecta; Hymenoptera; Braconidae. The record is from RNAcentral.
UAUAAAGUGCCUGAAAAAAAGGAUUAUUAUGAUAUAAUAAAUUAUGUUAUUAUUUAACCUUUAUAA